Transfer RNA from Felis catus (domestic cat), 85 nucleotides. It matches the Rfam family "tRNA". From Rfam's summary of the family: Transfer RNA (tRNA) molecules are approximately 80 nucleotides in length. The record is from Rfam. Lineage: Eukaryota; Metazoa; Chordata; Mammalia; Carnivora; Felidae.
GCCUGGGUGGCUCAGUCAGUUAAGCAUCUGACUUCGGCUCAGGUCAUGAUCUCACAGUCCGUGGGUUCAAGCCCUGCAUCGGGCU